UCGAUGCAACGCGAAGAACCUUACCUAGGCUUGACAGUUAGGGAAAACUGGUAGAGAUAUCAGGUGCCGAAAGCGUCCUAAAACAGGUGGUGCAUGGCUGUCGUCAGCUCGUGUCGUGAGAUGUUGGGUUAAGUCCCGCAACGAGCGCAACCCUCGUCGUAUGUUGCCAGCAUUAAGUUGGGGACUCAUACGAGACUGCCGGGGGUCAACUCGGAGGAAGGUGGGGAUGACGUCAAGUCAUCAUGCCCCUUAUGUCUAGGGCUGCACGCAUGCUACAAUGGCUGGUACAAAGGGCUGCGAUACCGCGAGGUGGAGCGAAUCCCAAAAAGCCAGUCUCAGUUCGGAUUGGGGUCUGCAACUCGACCCCAUGAAGUCGGAGUCGCUAGUAAUCGCAGAUCAGCAACGCUGCGGUGAAUACGUUCCCGGGCCUUGUACACACCGCCCGUCACGUCACGAAAGUCGGCAACACCCGAAGCCAGUGGCCUAACCCGCAAGGGAAGGAGCUGUCGAAG
This 512-nucleotide ribosomal RNA is filed under the name uncultured Actinomycetes bacterium. Its description in RNAcentral is "bacterial SSU rRNA". It matches the Rfam family "Bacterial small subunit ribosomal RNA", at positions 951 to 1461 of the family's 1533-position model. The record is from RNAcentral. Lineage: Bacteria; Bacillati; Actinomycetota; Actinomycetes.